RNAcentral lists this ribosomal RNA (253 nucleotides) under uncultured bacterium. RNAcentral's name for it is "partial 16S ribosomal RNA". It matches the Rfam family "Bacterial small subunit ribosomal RNA", at positions 524 to 776 of the family's 1533-position model. The record is from RNAcentral.
UACGAAGGGGGCUAGCGUUGUUCGGAAUUACUGGGCGUAAAGCGCGUGUAGGCGGGUCUUUACGUCAGGGGUGAAAUGCCAAGGCUCAACCUUGGAACUGCCUUUGAUACUGGAGACCUUGAGUCCGGGAGAGGUGAGUGGAAUUGCGAGUGUAGAGGUGAAAUUCGUAGAUAUUCGCAAGAACACCAGUGGCGAAGGCGGCUCACUGGCCCGGAACUGACGCUGAGAUGCGAAAGCGUGGGGAGCAAACAGG